GUCAGCAUAGUUUAAUAAAGACAUUAGAUUGUGAUUCUAAAAACAGAGGUUAAAACCCUCUUGCUAACC
This 69-nucleotide transfer RNA is filed under the name Pterophyllum scalare (freshwater angelfish). RNAcentral describes it as "tRNA-His". It matches the Rfam family "tRNA". Rfam says of the family: Transfer RNA (tRNA) molecules are approximately 80 nucleotides in length. Their secondary structure includes four short double-helical elements and three loops (D, anti-codon, and T loops). Lineage: Eukaryota; Metazoa; Chordata; Actinopteri; Cichliformes; Cichlidae. The record is from RNAcentral.